Molecule: ribosomal RNA, 164 nt
Filed under: uncultured bacterium
Lineage: Bacteria
Description: partial 16S rRNA
Rfam family: Bacterial small subunit ribosomal RNA
Source: RNAcentral
UAGGGAAUCUUCCACAAUGGGCGAAAGCCUGAUGGAGCAACGCCGCGUGUGUGAUGAAGGGUUUCGGCUCGUAAAACACUGUUGUAAGAGAAGAAUGACAUUGAGAGUAACUGUUCAAUGUGUGACGGUAUCUUACCAGAAAGGAACGGCUAAAUAUGUGCCAA